AACGUAGGUGGCAAGCGUUAUCCGGAUUUACUGGGCGUAAGGGUGUGCAGGCGGGGAAGCAAGUGGGGUGUGAAAUCUCCAGGCUUAACCUGGAGGGGUUAUGCCAGACUGCUUUUCUAGAGGACGAGAGAGGGGGGUGGAAUUCCGGGUGUAGUGGUGAAAUGCGUAGAGAUCCGGAGGAACCCCAGAGGCGAAGGCGGCCCCCUGGCUCGUACCUGACGCUCAGCCACGAAAGCAUGGGGAGCGAACGGG
RNAcentral lists this ribosomal RNA (252 nucleotides) under uncultured bacterium. RNAcentral's name for it is "partial 16S ribosomal RNA". It matches the Rfam family "Bacterial small subunit ribosomal RNA", at positions 524 to 776 of the family's 1533-position model. The record is from RNAcentral.